CGACCGGCGCACGGGUGAGUAACACGUAUCCAACCUGCCGAUGACUCGGGGAUAGCCUUUCGAAAGAAAGAUUAAUACCCGAUGGCAUAGUUCUUCCGCAUGGUAGAACUAUUAAAGAAUUUCGGUCAUCGAUGGGGAUGCGUUCCAUUAGGCAGUUGGUGAGGUAACGGCUCACCAAACCUUCGAUGGAUAGGGGUUCUGAGAGGAAGGUCCCCCACAUUGGAACUGAGACACGGUCCAA
RNAcentral lists this ribosomal RNA (241 nucleotides) under uncultured bacterium. RNAcentral describes it as "partial 16S ribosomal RNA". It matches the Rfam family "Bacterial small subunit ribosomal RNA", at positions 92 to 334 of the family's 1533-position model. The record is from RNAcentral.